This 493-nucleotide ribosomal RNA is filed under the name uncultured bacterium. Its description in RNAcentral is "bacterial SSU rRNA". It matches the Rfam family "Bacterial small subunit ribosomal RNA", at positions 903 to 1397 of the family's 1533-position model. The record is from RNAcentral.
AAAUGAAUAGACGGGGACCCGCACAAGCAGUGGAGUAUGUGGUUUAAUUCGAAGCAACGCGAAGAACCUUACCAAGGCUUGACAUAAUACUGAAUAGGAUAGAGAUAUUCUAGACCUUCGGGACAGUAUUACAGGUGGUGCAUGGUUGUCGUCAGCUCGUGUCGUGAGAUGUUGGGUUAAGUCCCGUAACGAGCGCAACCCCUGUUAUUAGUUGCCAUCAGGUUAAGCUGGGCACUCUAAUGAGACAAUCGGUGAUAAACCGGGGGAAGGUGGGGACGACGUCAAAUCAUCAUGCCCCUUAUGUCUUGGGCUACACACGUACUACAAUGGCUAUUACAACAGGUAGCGAAGGAGUAAUCCGGAGCCAAUCCCCAAAGAUAGUCCCAGUUCGGAUUGUGGGCUGCAACUCGCCCAUAUAAAGUCGGAAUUGCUAGUAAUUGCAGGUCAGCAUACUGCAGUGAAUACGUUCCCGGGUCUUGUACACACCGCCCGU